CCAAACUUGGUCAUUUAGAGGAAGUAAAAGUCGUAACAAGGUUUCCGUAGGUAAGUUAUAUCGGAGCGCCCUGUUACUUUGUAUUUGAACAGUUUUCACUAACUCUAUUUCCAGGUGAACCUGCGGAAGGAUCAUUAACGAGUUAGGGUCUACACGGCCCGACCUCCCAACCCUUUGUGUAUUGAACCUGUGUUGCUUCGGCGGGCCCGUCGUGAGAACGACCGCCGGAGGAUUGUCGAGAGGCGUCCUCUGGCCCGCACCCGUCGGUGGCCUACACCUAAAACCUCUGAAUGAAUCAUGUUCUAUGUCUAAGUCCUUUGAUAAAUAAAGCAAAACUUUCAACAACGGAUCUCUUGGUUCUGGCAUCGAUGAAGAACGCAGC
Molecule: unclassified non-coding RNA, 382 nt
Filed under: uncultured fungus
Lineage: Eukaryota; Fungi
Description: partial contains small subunit ribosomal RNA, internal transcribed spacer 1, and 5.8S ribosomal RNA
Rfam family: Eukaryotic small subunit ribosomal RNA (bases 1-137)
Source: RNAcentral